Molecule: long non-coding RNA, 1111 nt
Organism: Notolabrus celidotus (New Zealand spotty)
Lineage: Eukaryota; Metazoa; Chordata; Actinopteri; Labriformes; Labridae
Exons: 3
Source: RefSeq, a predicted model, not a curated record
GGUGAGUCCUAAACUGAAGUUAAUCUACACUACAGCAGCUGAGGAGCACGCGCCCGUCACCUGCAGAGGCUCGCGCCUGUCCAGCUCGACCCAUGCUACUGCCCUCUGCUGGCUGUGGAUGGCGUUGCGUAUGGCUGCCAGCAGCUCGUCGGUGCAGCUCCAGGUGUUGGGCUCCAGGGUGAAGUAGAGGAGGGGCAGCGUCUCCAGCUGUAGCUCCUCGGCCUGGCACACCUCCUCCAUGAUGCUGUCCUCGCCACAGCGUGGGAAGAACUUCCUGUUACCAGGUUCAGAGGGUCACAAGUUAGAGUAAAUAAUGCUCCACUAAAAACAGAAGAAUUUUCAGAUAUGUGAGCACACCUGGUGGACAGGUGUUGAAGUUCAGCCCAGACUCUGCAGGUUGCAGCAGCCUCUCGAUGAGUCCACGGGAGAGGAGCGACGGCGAGAAGAUGACCGGCCGCUUGCUCUGAACCUGAACCGGCUGCACCACGCUGUACGGGAUCAGGUGCUCCUCGUGACCUGAGAGGACGGUCACACGUUAACACCAAGUACACACUCACACACAUCCUGUUAAACACACACUACAUAUCUCUCUCUGUGUGGAGCUUUACGUUUGCUCAGCGUGAAGAGGACCGGCUGAGUGGAAGCGAUCCCACGGCCUCCAGGGUCCACCGCUUUGACCAAUCGUACGCGUCCAGAUCCUUUCUUCAUGAACUACAGGAAGGAGAAUAACAUCUGAUGUUUACUGAGGUCACAGAUAUGUUUUACUUUAAUGAAGCACAGUGUGUCAAACUGAGCCUGCUGUUCAUGUUGUGUCCGGAGAAGAUCAGCACCUUCUUCUUGAAGUCCUUUUGCUGCAGAGCCAUCUUACGAAGCCUCACGAGUAACAGCUGCUGCGCCCUGUGAGGAAGAUCCACGUUAUUCACACUCCUAGAUCUGAAUGUUUAGACACAGCAUGAGGGGAUCACUUUGACCGUACAGCACACUGAGGUUCACAUAAAGAAGAAGAACAUGCCCACUAAGUCUGCCUGAAAUCUGGGUGUCAUGAUCAAUGACCAGCUAACCUUCAGGGUUCAUGUUGCCUUGAUUGCUUGGUGGUGCCGUAACAUUGCAA